Molecule: long non-coding RNA, 4589 nt
Filed under: Sus scrofa (pig)
Lineage: Eukaryota; Metazoa; Chordata; Mammalia; Artiodactyla; Suidae
Description: lncRNA (ENSSSCG00000058461.1)
Source: RNAcentral
GGGUGUGGGUUCUUAUACUGAAGACAUUUUUAAAUUGGCUACACUGAUUUAACAAUUUGAACAUUUCUAAGUCCAUUAGCAUAUUUAUCAAGUUAACAGGAUUUCUCUCCUGCGGGGCGUGACUCAUGAUGAAGCUAUGACGUGACUGUGAGUCUUUACCACACAACAGACUGAAGCCCUUACCCCACUGUCACACAAACAGGGUUCUCUCCCACAUGGAUCCUCUCUCUCUCUCUUUCUUUUUUCAUCUUUCUGUCUUUUCUAGGGCCACACCCUCGGCAUAUGGACGUUCCCAGGCUAGGGGUCAAAUCAGAGCCGUAGCUACUGGCCUAACCCACAGCCACAGCAACCCCAGAUCUGAUCUGUGUCUGCGACCUACACCACAGCUCAUGGCAAUGCUGGACCCUUAACCCACAGAGCGAGGCCAGGGAUCGAACCCACGUCCUCGUGGAUACUAGUUGGGUUCAUUAACCGCUGAGCCACGACAGGAACUCCCCAUGACGCAGGUUUGAUCCCUGGCCUCCCGCGGUGGGUUAAGGAUCCAGUGUUGCCGUGAGCUGUGGUGUAGGUCAUGGACGUGGCUCAGAUCCCUCCUGGCUCUGGCUGUGGUGUAGGCCGGCAGAUGCAGCUCUGAUUAGACCCCUCGCCUGGGAAUCUCCAUGUGCCGUGGGUGCGGCCCUAAAAAAAAAAAAAAAAAAAGACUACAAAUAUUUACCGAGUGGCUGCUCUUGCUGGGCUCUGGGCCAGGAGCUGGAGACACAAGGGUGGGCGGAGCCCCCACAGCUGCCGUCUCGUGGAGCCGCCAGGAUCGUGCGAGAAACCGACUCUCUGGGAAGAAGGAGAGAUGCCCAAGUUCUCCGUCCACCCGUGUACGCGGAGUCGGAUGGGUAUGAAAGCUGGAGCUCACUUCUCACGCGCACAGGGUUGCGACCUCGCGUGCACUCUUAACGCACACGAAGGCUCGGGUUGGAACCGCAGCCCUCACGGGCGCCGUGGGUCUCCCCCCGGGCUGGCUCUGGUGGGGGGUCUGUGCGCCGCACUAAACCUCCACCGGCCUCGGCGCGGGCGCGGCGCUCUCCCCGUGGGCUCGGUCGACGGAACCCAAGGAGCGCGCUCCUUCCAAGGCCCUGGCAGAACCUCACACGCGAACGGGUUCUCUCCCGCAUGGCUUCCUUGCUGGACUCAGGAGCUGCGCCCCGACUGAGGAGGCGUCACGGCAGCCAGCAGGCCCGCAGCUUCGCUCUCGCAAGAACGCGGAGCCCCAGCUGGGGUGGAAGCCCUCGCGGUGGAAGCGGCUGAGCGCGGAAGUCGCCUUUGAAGGGUUUCCCAUUUAAGCGGCUUCUCUCGCGUGGACUCCGAUGCACGUGGAGGUCUGUGUUCUGACACAAGUCCUUACACACGCCUCACACUUGCGCAGUUUCUCUCCAGUGUGGACCCUCCCCUGGAUGGGAAGCUUGGUGCUCCGAUGGAAGCCCUUGCCACACGCCUCACACUCAAAGGGUUUCUCGCCUGUGUGCACCCUCUGAUGCACACGAAGAUUUGUGUUAUAACGGAAGUCUUUGCCCUAAAAAGCAUAAAAAAAAAAUCCCAGUUCUACUAGAAUUCAGAGGAAAGGAUUAGAAGAAUGAAAUUCUGGUCUUUAAGGUCUUGUAUGUGUAUGAGAGAUCCAGAAGGAGGGAAGAAAGAGUAUGAUGUUAAUAAUAAUAAUAAUAAUUACUUAUUAGCCUGAAAGAGAACUUGAUUCCUUUAGAUUGAAAGUGUGCCCCCAAAAGACAAACUAACAUACAUAUGUAUCUGGAUGCAAUUUCUGAAUUUCAAGGAUCAAGCAAACAUAAGCAUAACAAGUUACAAUUAAACUUGCAAAAAGUCACUCCCUUGUUAAGAAACUAAGAUGGACAGAAGACAACAGGACAAUGUCACCACAGUCCUGAGGGAGAAAGACUAUCAUCAAGAACCCUACGUCUGGGAGCUCCCGUCAUGGCUCAGUGGUAACAAACCCAACUAGUAUCCACGAGGAUGCGGGUUCCAUCCCUGGCCUGGCUCAGUGGAUUAAGGAUCCGGCACUGCCGUGAGCUGCGGUGUAAGUCACAGACGCAGCUCGGAUCUGGUGUUGCUGCGGCUGUGGUGCGGGCCAGCAGCUGCACCUCCAAUUGGACCCCUAGCCUGGAAAUUUCCAUACACCAUGGGUGCAGCCUGAAAAAGACAAAAAAAAAAAAAAAAAAAAGAAUCCUAAACCUAAACCAAUCAUUCCCCUACGAGGACAAAAGGAAGAUACAAAAAAGGAGAGGGCAAAGAUGUCCAAAAUUAGUCAAAAUAAACUUGUAGAGAAAGAAGACAUGAAAUAUAAAUAUAUUAAGGCUUUUCCUCCUUUUCCCCCAACAAAAUCUCAUGAAAUAUCAAGGGAAAACUCCCAUGAGCUGAAGGAUUCAGAGGUGGAAAGAGAUGAACAGAUGCAUAAUUACUAGAAAAAUAAUUGCUUAUCUAGACACAUCUGGUAAAAUUUCAAAAUCCUAAGGGUAAACAGAAAAAACAAGAAACAGAAAAAUUAUAAAUGUUUCCAGAAGGGAGGAUAAAGAAAAACAGGUUAAACAAACAAAAAUAAGAUAAAAUAAGACAAAGAAGGACCAAAUGAAUGAAGCAGAUCAGAAUCAGCAAUAUCAAAGCAUAGAAACAAAGACAUAGUAGCUGGAACAUUCUCAGGGAAAAUGAUUUUGAAUCUAAAGGUCUCUACUCAGUCAAACUAGUAUGCAAGGGUGGGCUGAAUAUACACACCUUUUCAAACAUGCAGGGACUCAGAAAGUAUAUCUGCAAAUGAAAAAUAAAUCUAAGCAACAGGCAGAUGUGGUAUAUAAGGAUUUAUAGAAAGAAAGGGUUCCCAUUAAAAUUAAGGCCAAUUUAACCUGGGAAAAUAGAGGUAUAAUAAAAUAAAAAAUUAUGGGGAGUUCUCUCGUGGCUCAGCAGGUUAAGGAUCCAGCAUCGUCACAGCAGUGGCUUGAGUUGCAGCUGUGUGGUGCAGGUUUGAUCCCUGGCCUAGUAACCUCCGCAUGCCAUGGAUCUGGUAAAAAAAAUUAUAAAUGGUUUCAAAAACACACAGGAUGAGGGAGUGUAUGUAUGUGUGUGUCAGGAUUAAGUAAAAGCAUGUUUAUGACCUUGUCUUGUUCUGGAGAAUGGAAGUUAUAAUAAAUACUGAUUGACACUUGACACUAAUAAAAAAAUAUAACUUUUCAAACAUGCUCUAAUCUUAAGGUAACUAAUUCAAGGAUAAAAAUAAGAAGUAGAAUUUUCAAAUAAUAAUAGAAGUGAAGAGGAAAGAAAUAAGAAUUCAUUUAGAAAAGGGGGGGUGAUUAAACAGAAAGCACAACAUAAUAUGUCAGAAGUCGGACCAAAUAUGUCAGUUAUCACAGUAAAUGCGAAAGGGCUAAAUUCCCUCAGGGUCCUACAGACUCCAAGAUUAAGUUAAAAAAACUCCAGCCACUUUCAGCUUGCAAGAGACAAGAAUAUACCAGGCAAAUGCUAACUAAGAGAGAGCAAAUGAGCAACACUAAUAUCUGACAAGCAGAAUUCAAGACAAAACACACUAAGUAAGACAAAAAGGUAUAAUCCACUAGGAGAAUAUAAGAAUCAUAAAGAAAUUGUCAAAUCCAAAAUCACUGAAUAAAUCUUUAAAAAGCCCUAAAGCAGGUAUGUACCUAAGAAUGUUAACUACAGCAUUAUAAUACUGCCAAACGGGAAAUAGCCUAAAUGUCCAUCAAGAAGAGGUGGGUGAAAUGAUUCUAAUACUUUUGUACAGUGGGAUACAGUCUAGCCUACAGCCAGAGGAUGAGGUUUAAAAAAAUGAUGAGGUAGACCUGGAUAUACUGUAUGGUCAUGUCCAUGAUGAACCCAUGACUAAAAACAAAUGAAGUUACAGAACGGAUAGAAAAAUAGAUAUCUGUGCCUCAGUUUUCUUGUCUAUAAAAUGGGGAUGAUGUUAAUAUCCCACAGAGAUAUGGUGAAUAUUAAAUCAAUUAAUUCCAGUGAAGUACUCUGAGCAAUUGACUGGUAUACAGAUAUUUCACUUGAGUGUGUUGGGGGAGUGCAUGCUAAAAGCCUUAAAAUGCACACACACUUUGACAUACCAAUUCUGCUUCAAAAAUGUUGUCCUGAGGAAAUAACCAGGCAAAUGUACAACAAUGUAGAUUGAAGCACUGUUUAAUAGCAAAAUUAGUGGAGAAGGUGUAUGUUCAACGUGCUGUGGUCUGAAGGAUUGUAUGCCCCCCCAAAUUCAUAGGUUGAAAAACUAAUGCCUAAGGUAAUGGGAUUAGGAGGUGGAGCUUCGGGGAUGUGAUUAGAUCAUAAAAGUGGCACCCUUAUGACUGGGAUUAAUGUCCCUAAAAAGAGGCCCCAUCUAGAAUACCCGCUAUGGCUCAUGAACACGACUAGUAUCCAUGAGAAUGCAGGUUUGACUCCUGGUCUUAAGAAUCCAACAUUGCUGCUAGCUGUGGGGUAGGUCGCAGACAAAGUCUGAUCCCAAGUUGGUGUAGGCUGGCAGCUGCAGCUCCGAUUGGACCCCUAGCCUGUGCACUUCCAUAUGCCACAGGUGUGGCCCU